AUUGAACGCUGGCGGCAUGCUUUACACAUGCAAGUCGAACGGUAACAGGCCUUCGGGCGCUGACGAGUGGCGAACGGGUGAGUAACGCAUCGGAACGUGCCCAGUCGUGGGGGAUAACGCAGCGAAAGCUGUGCUAAUACCGCAUACGAUCUGCGGAUGAAAGCGGGGGACCUUAGGGCCUCGCGCGAUUGGAGCGGCCGAUGUCAGAUUAGGUAGUUGGUGGGGUAAAGGCCCACCAAGCCAACGAUCUGUAGCUGGUCUGAGAGGACGACCAGCCACACUGGGACUGAGACACGGCUCAGACUCCUACGGGAGGCAGCAGUGGGGAAUUUUGGACAAUGGGCGCAAGCCUGAUCCAGCAAUGCCGCGUGCAGGAAGAAGGCCUU
This 386-nucleotide ribosomal RNA is filed under the name uncultured bacterium. RNAcentral's name for it is "bacterial SSU rRNA". It matches the Rfam family "Bacterial small subunit ribosomal RNA", at positions 29 to 418 of the family's 1533-position model. The record is from RNAcentral.